RNAcentral lists this ribosomal RNA (247 nucleotides) under uncultured bacterium. RNAcentral's name for it is "partial 16S ribosomal RNA". It matches the Rfam family "Bacterial small subunit ribosomal RNA", at positions 524 to 772 of the family's 1533-position model. The record is from RNAcentral.
UACGUAGGGGGCAAGCGUUGUCCGGAUUUAUUGGGCGUAAAGAGCGUGUAGGCGGCCCGAUUAGUCCGCUGUGAAAGUCCAGGGCUCAACCCUGGAAUGCCGGUGGAUACUGUCGGGCUAGAGUCCGGAAGGGCGAGGUGGAAUCCUGGUGUAGCGGUGAAAUGCGCAGAUAUCAGGAGGAACACCGGUGGCGAAGGCGGGUCUCUGGGCCGUAACUGACGCUGAGGAGCGAAAGCAUGGGAGCGAA